Molecule: ribosomal RNA, 484 nt
Filed under: uncultured bacterium
Lineage: Bacteria
Description: partial 16S ribosomal RNA
Rfam family: Bacterial small subunit ribosomal RNA
Source: RNAcentral
AUUGAACGCUGGCGGCAGGCCUAACACAUGCAAGUCGAGCGGAUGAAGGGAGCUUGCUCCUGGAUUCAGCGGCGGACGGGCGAGUAAUGACUAGGAAUCUGCCUGGUAGUGGGGGAUAACGUCCGGAAACGGGCGCUAAUACCGCAUACGUCCUGAUGGAGAAAGUGGGGGAUCUUCGGACCUCACGCUAUCAGAUGAGCCUAGGUCGGAUUAGCUAGUUGGUGGGGUAAAGGCCUACCGAGGCGACGAUCCAUAACAGGUCUGAGAGGAUGAUCAGUCACACUGGAACUGAGACACGGUCCAGACUCCUACGGGAGGCAGCAGUGGGGAAUAUUGGACAAAGGGCGAAAGCCUGAUCCAGCCAUGCCGCGUGUGUGAAGAAGGUCUUCGGAUUGUAAAGCACUUUAAGUUGGGAGGAAGGGCAGUAAGUUAAUACCUUGCUGUUUUGACGUUACCAACAGAAUAAGCCCCGGCUAACUUCGUG